RNAcentral lists this ribosomal RNA (331 nucleotides) under uncultured bacterium. RNAcentral's name for it is "bacterial SSU rRNA". It matches the Rfam family "Bacterial small subunit ribosomal RNA", at positions 568 to 898 of the family's 1533-position model. The record is from RNAcentral.
UGCGCAGGCGGUUUUGUAAGCCAGAUGUGAAAUCCCCGGGCUUAACCUGGGAAUGGCAUUUGGGACUGCAAGGCUGGAGUGUGGCAGAGGAGACUGGAAUUCCUGGUGUAGCAGUGAAAUGCGUAGAUAUCAGGAGGAAUACCGAUGGCGAAGGCAGGUCUCUGGGCUGACACUGACGCUCAUGCACGAAAGCGUGGGGAGCAAACAGGAUUAGAUACCCUGGUAGUCCACGCCCUAAACGAUGUCGACUGGUUGUUGGGGGUUUGACACUCUCAGUAACGAAGCUAACGCGUGAAGUCGACCGCCUGGGGAGUACGGCCGCAAGGUUAAA